Non-coding RNA from Agelaius phoeniceus (red-winged blackbird), 617 nucleotides. NCBI's taxonomy places the organism in Eukaryota, Metazoa, Chordata, Aves, Passeriformes, Icteridae. The record is from RefSeq and is a predicted model, not a curated record.
UUUAGGCAGUGACUUUCUACCGCUUGUCGGAUUUUCUUGUGCAAUGUGCCAGGAGUCUGGAGAAACUGGAGAAGAGCCCAAGAGACAUUUUUCAUCCUGAGAUACAAAAGGGCAGGGAAGGACUCUGGUAUCCCGGUCGUCAGACUCGGCGCUGCCCGAGAAGAUACAGAGACUGUAAAAAUCAUAAGAAGCAACUAGGACUGCAGAGGAAACAAACUGGAGAGAACAAAAGGUGAUAUUGUUCUCCUUAGCCUGGAUUAGAAACAUCCACUGCGCUUUGAUGCCGGUGGCUGCCAGGGGCUCGUUAGGUCUCUUGAGGCAGGUGUAGGUGUUCACUUGUAGGUUCUAUUUUUUGGCAAAGGACCACGAGAGAAGUUUAUUUAUAGAUCCAAAUAAACAUUCAUCUUAUCUGAACAUAACCUGUCAUCCCCUUUCUGACAUUAAGGACUCCUGUAUAAAUACUUGGGGGGGUUUUCUUUGUCGUUUCUGAAUGGUUCCAUUUUGCCGGCUACUUGAACAAAUCUGAGGGGGUUUAAUUGCAUACUGCUUCCUUGAAAUUCUGUUGGUCUCUGCUUGGAACCCUUCUUGUACUGCUUAAUGAAAGACUUCUGAUGGUG